Long non-coding RNA from Canis lupus familiaris (dog), 416 nucleotides. RefSeq lists it as uncharacterized. NCBI's taxonomy places the organism in Eukaryota, Metazoa, Chordata, Mammalia, Carnivora, Canidae. The transcript is spliced from 3 exons. The record is from RefSeq and is a predicted model, not a curated record.
AACAUCAGGAGAGGGGGGCAAAAUCCACUUCUCUGCAGUCACCUUCCGCAGCUGCUGUUAGACCUAGGGCUGCUCAUGCCGACCUCGGCGUUCCCAGUUUCUGUGUGUUUGUUGUGGGUGGCCUUAAAGGACAACAGGCUGGCUCCCUGCACCACAUCCUGCAUCCUCUCGGGGUGGCGGGGCCUGAGGCUCUAGGGAGUUUGCGCCCCACUCACCGCAGAGGUAUGAGCAGGGUCCCCACCUCCAGACGCCCACAGUCAUCAGUGUGCCCGGGCAUGACAAACAAGCUCACACUCCACAGCAGGAGUCACUGCGCAGCAGGGUCAUCAGCUGGCACUUGCUGGGACACACAGGAUGAUUUAUUUAUUCACUUGAGAGAGAGAGAGAGGAGGAGCGGAUGGAGAAAAUCUUCAAGC